GACUGGAAAGAGUUAACAAUGAGAACAAAGUCAUGGUUCUGUUAAAACCACUUAAAAUACCUGGUUAGAAAUUUUCUAACAUAAACUUUUCAUGUCUAGACAUUUUGAGCAGAGGUUUUAUCUAUUAUGGAUAUGUUAGUCUAUGUUGAAGGUGGCAUUUAUUUUCAUAUUCUCUUAGGCAUCCAAAAAUACUAGCUGUUAGUCUUUACUCCAAUUCCACACAUAAGCAAAAAAAAAAAAAAGUUUUUAAAAGAACAACCCAAUUUUUAGUAAUCAGUGCCUGGAUCCAAAAAUUUCCAAAAGAAAUUUUUAUCUGGGGCAGGAGAUAGCUCAGCAUUAAUAGUGAAUACCACUCUUGAGAGGACCUAGGUUCUGCUACUGGUACCCAUGUCUGGCAAUUCAUAAUGCCUGUAACUCCAGCUCUAGGGAACCUAGUGUCCUCUUCUGGCUUCUGUAGGUACUGGCAUUCAAAAAUGCAUACCCAUACAAACAUAUACAAAUGUACAUAAUUGUUUAAAAAAUCUUUAAAACAAAGAGGGCCUAUUAGAAAGUGGAUGAAAACUGAGUAGGCCCCUCAGCCUACCCAGCACUGACGGCUGUGCGUGAGACGGAGUCUGAGCUCUCUGAUCUAUGACUGAAGGGUAAAGAGGUAAGGACAGACCUCCAUCACUCCUGUCUCACCUGAAGCACGUAAGGCAAGGUAAGUUCAGUUUCACACUCUGCCCAACAUGACCAAAGGCAGGAGAAUGUUCCAUACCAGAAAGAGUUCAAAAUUCAAGGCUGAUACUGAUACAUGACAGACUGCUGUGGGAGGCAGAGGGCAGGACACAGAUCAUUAAUAAGGUGAGCCCAUCUGGCAGCAAAGGAGGGGCUGUAAGACAAAGGUCCCAGAUAGCAAAUGAGAAAAAAUAUUUUAAUCAGCCAGAACUGAAAUACAUUCAUGUUUUUCUUUUGUGUUGUUGUUGUUGUUGGGGGUGUUGUUAAACAAAUUACAAGCAAAUAAAGGCUGGUCUGUUUUCAAACUUUGAAGGCAGGCCUACCCUGAAUGUGGGUAACACUACACCAUAGACUGGGAAAGUGAGGAAAACAGCUGAGCACUCAUCUAUUUGCUUCCUAAUCUGCUCAGCUCUGAGUUCCUGCUGCCAUGCCUUUCCCAACAGAAUGGACUGUACUCCCUGGACGGCUAAGCACUCCUGGAAUGAGAACAUUUAUACUGAACAGCGCAGACCAUUUAGCCUCAUCCAGACACCUUUGCAUCCUUCAGGAAAGAGGGACUCAGAAAAAUGCACUUCAUUCAAAACCAUUCAGAGAGUUGUCAGGCCUUUUGUAAAACAAUGCCAAACUGAACUGUCCGUCCAGCACACUGCUUACCUGGCGUGGGAAGUGGAGGAAGCAGCUAGUUUAUUUGUUCGUUCACUGCUCUGAAGUUUUGUCCUUAAUUCAUUCAUUUCUGCAUCUUUAAAUUGGAGCUCUGACUGCAAUGACUGAAGCUGAAAAAGCCAAAGGAAGACAUCUGUGACAGCACUGUAUAUACUACACACACUCCAAAAUGUGUGUACGCUGGUACUCGCCUUUAACCCCAACACUCAGGAAGCAGAGCAGGUAUGAUUGGUGAACCUCUGAGUUUGAGACCAGCCUGAUCUACACGUUGAGCUCCGAGACAACCAGGGUUAUAUAGUAAGAGUCUGUCUCAAAAGCAAAACAAAACAAAAUUCAAAUUAAAAAGGGGUGGGGGUGCAUAUCCUUGACAUGGCACACAGAUGUUCUGAAGGAAAGUGGUGGUAGUGUUGGGAAAAGGUACCAGUCAAAGAAGCACACUUUGGCCCUGCAACCAGAGCCAAAGAAAUGCACCCUGACUGACCCUGAAAUAAGUGCCAAAGAAACACACUUUGUCCCUAGAAUCAGAGCCAGAGAAAGAAAUAUGCCCUGACCCUAAAAUUAGAGUCAAAAAGUUAAAUUUGCCAGUGAAAGAAACAUAUUUUGGCCCUGAAAUCAGAGCCAAAUCUGUCCCUGGCCAGAAAACCAACCAAUCCCUGAGCAGGAGAUCUAGCCAAUCUGAGCUCAGGGACUGAAAUCUGACCAAUCCCCACCCUGGAAAGCUCCCUGGUAAAAGUCUGCCCCUAAGAAGUCCUACAUAAACCCUGUGCCUCUUCCCUUUGCUGCUGUCUUCUUCCACCCUGGCAGAGGCAGCCACUCUCUUGAUUCUUCCCUCCCAAUAAAUCUCUUUUUGUUUG
Molecule: non-coding RNA, 2234 nt
Organism: Cricetulus griseus (Chinese hamster)
Lineage: Eukaryota; Metazoa; Chordata; Mammalia; Rodentia; Cricetidae
Source: RefSeq, a predicted model, not a curated record